CGGGCAUGCCCUUCUUGGGCGUUUCCUCCCUGGACUUGGCCGCUCCCGUUCCCGCGGGGGCGGCCCUUUUCUCGGGUCAA
RNAcentral lists this small RNA (80 nucleotides) under Methylobacterium sp. RAS18. RNAcentral describes it as "suhB". It matches the Rfam family "Makes More Granules Regulator RNA (mmgR)". From Rfam's summary of the family: SuhB later renamed mmgR (makes more granules regulator) was a putative non-coding RNA found multiple times in the Agrobacterium tumefaciens genome and related alpha-proteobacteria. Other non-coding RNAs uncovered in the same analysis include: speF, ybhL, metA, and serC. The record is from RNAcentral. Lineage: Bacteria; Pseudomonadati; Pseudomonadota; Alphaproteobacteria; Hyphomicrobiales; Methylobacteriaceae.